UUUUGAAUUCAUUAAUAGUGAUUGUCCUAUACCAAGUCAAAACAUGUCCUCUCCCGAUGGUAAGAGUGAAAUCGAAAACCCAAAUUACAAAUCAUGGUUAAAGUCUGACCGACUUCUUAAAGCUUGGAUCACAAGGACAUUAUCAGAAGAGUGUCUUAGCUUUGUUGUUGGCCUCAAGACUUCUGCAGAACUUUGGAAAUACCUGAAGAAUGCCUGUAUAGUUAAUUAUCAAGCGAUUGAGCUCCAACUUACCCAACAACUCCAACUCUAC
RNAcentral lists this long non-coding RNA (271 nucleotides) under Amborella trichopoda. Its description in RNAcentral is "long non-coding RNA (ATRI_LNC002902)". The record is from RNAcentral. Lineage: Eukaryota; Viridiplantae; Streptophyta; Magnoliopsida; Amborellales; Amborellaceae.